UGGGGAAUAUUUGACAAUGGGCGCAAGCCUGAUCCAGCCAUGCCGCGGGUGUGAAGAAGGCCUUUUGGGUGUAAAGCACUUUAAGCGAGGAGGAGGCUACUUGGAUUAAUACUCUAAGAUAGUGGACGUUACUCGCAGAAUAAGCACCGGCUAACUAUGUGCCAGCAGCCGCGGUAAUACAGAGGGUGCGAGCGUUAAUCGGAUUUACUGGGCGUAAAGCGUGCGUAGGCGGCUUCUUAAGUCGGAUGUGAAAUCCCUGAGCUUAACUUAGGAAUUGCAUUCGAUACUGGGAAGCUAGAGUAUGGGAGAGGAUGGUAGAAUUCCAGGUGUAGCGGUGAAAUGCGUAGAGGUCUGGAGGAAUACCGAUGGCGAAGGCAGCCAUCUGGCCUAAUACUGACGCUGGGGUACGAAAGCAUGGGGAGCAAACAGG
This 430-nucleotide ribosomal RNA is filed under the name Bacillota bacterium. RNAcentral's name for it is "Firmicutes bacterium partial 16S ribosomal RNA". It matches the Rfam family "Bacterial small subunit ribosomal RNA", at positions 355 to 776 of the family's 1533-position model. The record is from RNAcentral. Lineage: Bacteria; Bacillati; Bacillota.